AGAGUUUGAUCCUGGCUCAGAACGAACGCUGGCGGCAUGCCUAACACAUGCAAGUCGAACGAUGCUUUCGGGCAUAGUGGCGCACGGGUGCGUAACGCGUGGGAAUCUGCCCUUGGGUCUGGGAUAACAGUUGGAAACGACUGCUAAUACCGGAUGAUAUCGCGAGAUCAAAGAUUUAUCGCCCGAGGAUGAGCCCGCGUAGGAUUAGCUAGUUGGUGGGGUAAAGGCCUACCAAGGCGACGAUCCUUAGCUGGUCUGAGAGGAUGAUCAGCCACACUGGGACUGAGACACGGCCCAGACUCCUACGGGAGGCAGCAGUGGGGAAUAUUGGACAAUGGGCGAAAGCCUGAUCCAGCAAUGCCGCGUGAGUGAUGAAGGCCUUAGGGUUGUAAAGCUCUUUUACCCGGGAUGAUAAUGACAGUACCGGGAGAAUAAGCCCCGGCUAACUCCGUG
Molecule: ribosomal RNA, 453 nt
Filed under: uncultured Sphingomonas sp.
Lineage: Bacteria; Pseudomonadati; Pseudomonadota; Alphaproteobacteria; Sphingomonadales; Sphingomonadaceae
Description: bacterial SSU rRNA
Rfam family: Bacterial small subunit ribosomal RNA
Source: RNAcentral